AUUGAACGCUGGCGGCAGGCUUAACACAUGCAAGUCGAGCGGGGUGAUGGUGCUUGCACUAUCACUUAGCGGCGGACGGGUGAGUAAUGCUUAGGAAUCUGCCUAUUAGUGGGGGACGACAUCUCGAAAGGGAUGCUAAUACCGCAUACGUCCUACGGGAGAAAGCAGGGGAUCACUUGUGACCUUGCGCUAAUAGAUGAGCCAAAGUCGGAUUAGCUAGUUGGUGGGGUAAAGGCCUACCAAGGCGACGAUCUGUAGCGGGUCUGAGAGGAUGAUCCGCCACACUGGGACUGAGACACGGCCCAGACUCCUACGGGAGGCAGGAGUGGGGAAUAUUGGACAAUGGGGGGAACCCUGAUCCAGCCAUGCCGCGUGUGUGAAGAAGGCCUUAUGGUUGUAAAGCACUUUAAGCGAGGAGGAGGCUCUUUUGGUUAAUACCCAAGAUGAGUGGACGUUACUCGCAGAAUAAGCACCGGCUAACUCUGUGCCAGCCGCCGCCGUAA
This 503-nucleotide ribosomal RNA is filed under the name uncultured bacterium. Its description in RNAcentral is "partial 16S ribosomal RNA". It matches the Rfam family "Bacterial small subunit ribosomal RNA", at positions 30 to 523 of the family's 1533-position model. The record is from RNAcentral.